RNAcentral lists this ribosomal RNA (498 nucleotides) under uncultured bacterium. RNAcentral describes it as "partial 16S ribosomal RNA". It matches the Rfam family "Bacterial small subunit ribosomal RNA", at positions 30 to 523 of the family's 1533-position model. The record is from RNAcentral.
AUUGAACGCUGGCGGCAUGCCUUACACAUGCAAGUCGAACGGUAACAGGUCUUCGGAUGCUGACGAGUGGCGAACGGGUGAGUAAUACAUCGGAACGUGCCUAGUAGUGGGGGAUAACUACUCGAAAGAGUGGCCAAUACCGCAUGAGAUCUACGGAGGAAAGUAGGGGAUCGCAAGACCUUGUGCUACUAGAGCGGCCGAUUGCAGAUUAGGUAGUUGGUGGGAUAAAAGCUUACCAAGCCGACGAUCUGUAGCUGGUCUGAGAGGACGAUCAGCCACACGGGGACUGGGACACGGCCCAGACUCCUACGGGAGGCAGCAGUGGGGAAUUUUGGACAAUGGGCGAAAGCCUGAUCCAGCAAUGCCGCGUGCAGGAUGAAGGCCUUCGGGUUGUAAACUGCUUUUGUACGGAACGAAAAGCCCCGGGUUAAUACCCUGGGGUCAUGACGGUACCGUAAGAAUAAGCACCGGCUAACUACGUGCCAGCCGCCGCCGUAA